AGAGUUUGAUCCUGGCUCAGGCGAACGCUGGCGGCGUGCCUAAUACAUGCAAGUAGAACGCUGAAGACUUUAGCUUGCUAAAGUUGGAAGAGUUGCGAACGGGUGAGUAACGCGUAGGUAACCUGCCUACUAGCGGGGGAUAACUAUUGGAAACGAUAGCUAAUACCGCAUAACAGCAUUUAACACAUGUUAGAUGCUUGAAAGGAGCAAUUGCUUCACUAGUAGAUGGACCUGCGUUGUAUUAGCUAGUUGGUGAGGUAACGGCUCACCAAGGCGACGAUACAUAGCCGACCUGAGAGGGUGAUCGGCCACACUGGGACUGAGACACGGCCCAGACUCUACGGGAGGCAGCAGUAGGGAAUCUUCGGCAAUGGGGGCAACCCUGACCGAGCAACGCCGCGUGAGUGAAGAAGGUUUUCGGAUCGUAAAGCUCUGUUGUAAGAGAAGAACGUGUGUGAGAGUGGAAAGUUCACACAGUGACGGUAACUUACCAGAAAGGGACGGCUAACUACGUGCCAGCAGCCGCGGUAAU
RNAcentral lists this ribosomal RNA (532 nucleotides) under Streptococcus sp. W3. RNAcentral describes it as "bacterial SSU rRNA". It matches the Rfam family "Bacterial small subunit ribosomal RNA", at positions 8 to 524 of the family's 1533-position model. Lineage: Bacteria; Bacillati; Bacillota; Bacilli; Lactobacillales; Streptococcaceae. The record is from RNAcentral.